This 75-nucleotide transfer RNA is filed under the name bacterium. Its description in RNAcentral is "tRNA-Gly". It matches the Rfam family "tRNA". Rfam says of the family: Transfer RNA (tRNA) molecules are approximately 80 nucleotides in length. Their secondary structure includes four short double-helical elements and three loops (D, anti-codon, and T loops). RNAcentral also lists the same sequence under 7 other names. The record is from RNAcentral.
GCGGGAGUAAUUCAGUGGUAGAAUGCCUCCUUGCCAAGGAGGAUGUCGAGAGUUCGAAUCUCUUCUCCCGCUCCA